GCAUGAAAGGGAGUAGUAAUUUCAAAUAUUUGUCCUUGGAUGUCCGUUGCUAUCACCAGCUGAUCUCCUAGCAUCAAAAGGAGUAGUAGGCUCGCUUUCAGCAUCAUUAGCCUAUAUCAAUAAAAUUAAAAUC
Arachis ipaensis is the source of this 133-nucleotide non-coding RNA. The record is from RefSeq and is a predicted model, not a curated record. NCBI's taxonomy places the organism in Eukaryota, Viridiplantae, Streptophyta, Magnoliopsida, Fabales, Fabaceae.